This 381-nucleotide long non-coding RNA is filed under the name Setaria viridis. Its description in RNAcentral is "long non-coding RNA (SVIR_LNC008098)". The record is from RNAcentral. Lineage: Eukaryota; Viridiplantae; Streptophyta; Magnoliopsida; Poales; Poaceae.
UAAAACUGAUCAUAAACUUUAUCGUUGCAGAUGAGAUUGAACUUACUGGAUUGAAUGGGAGAGAUGUAAUUGGAUCAAUUAGCGCAGGUGGUGCAUGCUCCUUCUGUUGCGCAGGUGGUGUAUGGUCCUGCUCUUGUGUGUCAGGAUUGAUGGGUGGUACCGAAGAAGUAGCUCCGUCCACAUCCAUGAUGGCUGAGUUGUCUGAUGUGAAGCAAGAUGGUAAACUGCCGCUGCCUGCUGCCUUCCUGCCGCUGCAGCUGCCUUCUACCCUUCCUGGCUGCUGCAAGAUUGACAAGCCAGAGAAGGCCAAAGAUAUAAGUGCCAACCAAGUUUGUUGUCCAUGUGAGUCCGUGUGAAGCAAGAUUGUUUUUAUUAUCUAAC